AUGUAUGUUGAGCACACAAAUAAAGCAAUAAUUUCUUACACCAGGGCAACAACAGCAGUCAUUGUCAAGGAAAGUUUUGGAACAUCACAAGCAGUGUUUUGGAUGAUCAACUCUUCUGCAACUGCAUCUAGCAAUCCAUUUCUCAGUGUCUGAAACUGUGGUGCUUUGGAUGGUCAGGCAAAAGAGUGAUAUUAAACUUGAAUAAAUCAAGGAUGGAUUCACCUUUUUUGAAUAAGUAGAUAUUCUGCUGACAGAUGGAUCUCUUCAGCUUAUUGAUGAUUUUCCAGUUUAUUAAAGGUAAGCCCUCAGAACUUCAUAAUCAAAAUGAUGAAGUUCUUCAUUCCCAGAACUUUCUUAUAU
Molecule: long non-coding RNA, 360 nt
Filed under: Corvus moneduloides (New Caledonian crow)
Lineage: Eukaryota; Metazoa; Chordata; Aves; Passeriformes; Corvidae
Description: lncRNA (ENSCMUG00000020075.1)
Source: RNAcentral